UGGGGGAUAUUGCACAAUGGGCGAAAGCCUGAUGCAGCGACGCCGCGUGGGGGAUGAAGGCUUUCGGGUUGUAAACCUCUUUCGCUAUCGAACAAGGCCCGCUUAGGGUGGGUUGAGGGUAGGUGGAGAAGAAGCGCCGGCUAACUACGUGCAGCAGCCGCGGUAAUACGUAGGGCGCGAGCGUUGUCCGGAAUUAUUGGGCGUAAAGGGCUUGUAGGCGGCUUGUUGCGCCUGCUGUGAAAACGCGGGGCUUAACUUCGCGCGUGCAGUGGGUACGGGCAGGCUUGAGUGUGGUAGGGGUGACUGGAAUUCCAGGUGUAGCGGUGGAAUGCGCAGAUAUCUGGAGGAACACCGAUGGCGAAGGCAGGUCACUGGGCCAUUACUGACGCUGAGGAGCGAAAGCAUGGGUAGCGAACAGG
RNAcentral lists this ribosomal RNA (419 nucleotides) under bacterium. RNAcentral's name for it is "partial 16S ribosomal RNA". It matches the Rfam family "Bacterial small subunit ribosomal RNA", at positions 355 to 776 of the family's 1533-position model. The record is from RNAcentral.